UCAGGGACUGGGGCUCAAAAGUAGAGCAUUUGCUUAACAUGCAGAAGUCCCAGGUUUAAUCCCAGGCUUCUUGAG
RNAcentral lists this transfer RNA (75 nucleotides) under Sphaerodactylus townsendi. RNAcentral describes it as "tRNA-Val". The record is from RNAcentral. Lineage: Eukaryota; Metazoa; Chordata; Lepidosauria; Squamata; Sphaerodactylidae.